This 769-nucleotide long non-coding RNA is filed under the name Mus musculus (house mouse). Its description in RNAcentral is "predicted gene, 32442". Lineage: Eukaryota; Metazoa; Chordata; Mammalia; Rodentia; Muridae. The record is from RNAcentral.
CUGCCCUGGCUUCCCUCCAUGAUGGACCGAGACAAGCUAGUGAUGAAGGCUGCAGUGAGAAGAAACGCUGAGGACACUUCUGUUAUUGAAUUAUAAGGAGCCAUGCAGACCAUCUGUAGGACCAGGGGAAAGAAUAUAUAUUUAAGAAACAGGUUUAAAACCUGAUGUUAGAGGAAGACGGUGGAAAAGAAAACACAGUACAGGCGAAUCCUUCUGGGCUUAUGCAGAACUUGCCAACGUCACGCAAGCGAGCCCUGGGACGACGAACAUCUGGCAAACCCUGACUUCAGCAGCACAGUACAGAAUGCCCUCGUUUACAUAAACUCAUUUCCUCGAGGAAUAGCUGCAGAAUCUGCUAUUUCAAGAGAAUAUGUGACUAAGUGUUGUUACACCUUUGAGUGAAGGACUUUCCCCCUUAGAAUCAGGCUGCCUACUGACCUUCCUUAAGUCGGAUUUCAUGCCUUUAUAGGCAUAUUGAUUCUACAUGCACUUCCCUGGUGUUUACUAAACAAAACUCUGAGCAGUUAGGAUAAGAAUACGUAAGGAGUUUGCUUCAAUGUGAAAAACGAGCACAGAUUGAUCGUUGUAGCAAUUCCCAGUUUCCUUUGGUGGAGUAAUUUCUGACGUGAAUGGCAGAUGUUGAUGGAUUCCUGGUUGGCUGAUGAUGCUGUGAGUAAGUCAGGAGCUUGUUAUGAGGAAGCAGUGGCCAGAAGUUCAAAAUCUCCCACCCAAUGAUGCUGUCCUUUACUUAAAGCAGGAAGGCAUGCUG